GCAACCAGGCCAGGCCAGUGUGUGGGUGGGGCUGCUUUAAAGACUUAUUGCCCCAAAACCCAGGCGUGAUUCUUUCAUUUUGCUUCUUCUGCAAGCGGGACUCUUCCGGAAUCCACACAAGAUUCCCCACGCAGGAUCCACACAGGGAGCCACACAGCCAAAAGCAGCUCAGGUCUUCCAUCACAGGGGCCUUGGUUGGGUCAGAGGAACAGAGAGAAGCUUUUCCUGGCUUCCAUACUUCCAAAUCCCGAAGAUCGGCUCUGAUUGGCUUAGCGGGCACCAUCUAAGGAAACUGAUGCGCAGAGACGAAGUAACUUGCCCAAGUCCACACGGCCAGUAAACAGCAAGCAAUGGGAUUUGAUCCGAGGCAGUCUGGCUCAAACACGUGCCCUCGCAAAAGCCACCAUCUUGAAUAUAUUUAUGUUUAGAUAUGUCCGUUUUUGUCAAAAAUAAUAAUAAGAAGUAACGU
Long non-coding RNA from Mustela erminea (ermine), 469 nucleotides. RefSeq lists it as uncharacterized. The record is from RefSeq and is a predicted model, not a curated record. Lineage: Eukaryota; Metazoa; Chordata; Mammalia; Carnivora; Mustelidae. The transcript is spliced from 3 exons.